Molecule: ribosomal RNA, 733 nt
Filed under: bacterium
Lineage: Bacteria
Description: bacterial SSU rRNA
Rfam family: Bacterial small subunit ribosomal RNA
Source: RNAcentral
UGCAGUCGAACGGUAACAGGAAGCAGCUUGCUGCUUUGCUGACGAGUGGCGGACGGGUGAGUAAUGUCUGGGAAACUGCCUGAUGGAGGGGGAUAACUACUGGAAACGGUAGCUAAUACCGCAUAACGUCGCAAGACCAAAGAGGGGGACCUUCGGGCCUCUUGCCAUCGGAUGUGCCCAGAUGGGAUUAGCUUGUUGGUGGGGUAACGGCUCACCAAGGCGACGAUCCCUAGCUGGUCUGAGAGGAUGACCAGCCACACUGGAACUGAGACACGGUCCAGACUCCUACGGGAGGCAGCAGUGGGGAAUAUUGCACAAUGGGCGCAAGCCUGAUGCAGCCAUGCCGCGUGUAUGAAGAAGGCCUUCGGGUUGUAAAGUACUUUCAGCGGGGAGGAAGGGAGUAAAGUUAAUACCUUUGCUCAUUGACGUUACCCGCAGAAGAAGCACCGGCUAACUCCGUGCCAGCAGCCGCGGUAAUACGGAGGGUGCAAGCGUUAAUCGGAAUUACUGGGCGUAAAGCGCACGCAGGCGGUUUGUUAAGUCAGAUGUGAAAUCCCCGGGCUCAACCUGGGAACUGCAUCUGAUACUGGCAAGCUUGAGUCUCGUAGAGGGGGGUAGAAUUCCAGGUGUAGCGGUGAAAUGCGUAGAGAUCUGGAGGAAUACCGGUGGCGAAGGCGGCCCCCUGGACAAAGACUGACGCUCAGGUGCGAAAGCGUGGGGAGCAAACAGGAUU